This 7514-nucleotide long non-coding RNA is filed under the name Lynx pardinus (Iberian lynx). Lineage: Eukaryota; Metazoa; Chordata; Mammalia; Carnivora; Felidae. The record is from RNAcentral.
ACUUCUCGCGGUAUCUGAUUCUCAGGCUCCACCCCUUGCACGCUUUUCAUCUUUGUUGGCCAACAGUUCUCGGGACGAGGGCUUUGGGAUGUCAGUUUCGCCGAGGUCGUCCUUGCGUGGGCGGGGAGGUGAAGGUGGCCGUUUAACCCGGGCUCCCGUGAAAUAAAGUGGCCAAGCGUUAGCACUCCCGCCUUUCCAGCCGUCAGUGACCCCUCAGCUUACAAACUGGCUGACAGCCCCAGGGAAGGAGAGAGCAGGUGCCCAGGCGAGGGGCAGACAGACCCAGUGAGGCAGAGACCCGGUGCCCAGGUGAGGGGCUCGGCGUCCUGCCCCAGCAUCACAAUGCUGGUGUGGGUGCAGCCCCAAAUGUAGCAGCGGCGGGGCUCCGUGGGGAGGACGACCCUCCGCCUUUGCUAAAGGGAUGCAUUUCAAAGGCGAUGGCACCUCACCAGUGUUUUGCAAGGUCCCUCGUUUGCUUAGUGACUCGUGGAGCAUCUGCGGAAUGCAUGCUAUUUGUCAGGCCCCAGGGAGCUAGCAAAGGGCGUUCUGGGGUGAUCCAAGGUUUGUCCAGCGUUAACGUGCAUAGGAAACAACUUGGGGUUCUUGUAGACACGCAGGUUCUGAUUCAAUAGGUCUGGGAUGGGCCCGAGAUUCUGCAUUUCUAACGGACUAACAGGAGACGAUGCCAGUGGUUUGAGUAGCAAGGAGGUAGAGAAAUAGCUAGGGCCGUGUGAAAGGUUGGGAGAUGCUAGGCUCUUUUACGCUCAAACUCCGCAUCUAAUGUCCUAUCAAGCGUAGUUAAAUAUGGCCACAUCCUUCGCAAUUGCUGUAAAAUAUUGGGAGCUUUUUGAAAAAUUAAUUUCACCUGCUGGUUAUUUGGCUCUCUUAACUUGUAGCUCACAUUAGGCUCUGAUAACCCGUUAUGUGCAUAUUCACACGUCCUUGACUGAGGAAGCUCCACUUACAAACUGUUUUCAAAUGUAAGAAAACAUUCUUACAAAUUAUAUUUAACAAUGAAUUAGAUACUAUAGUACAUUUUGUAGGCAUUGUAUUGAUUUCGCUAUCGUUUUUUGUAUUUGUAGUCCCAUUUUGCAGGGUAAUAUUUAUUACAGUAAAAAAAUGGACACAAUUGGGGCGCCUGGGUGGCUCAGUUAAGCGUCUGACUUCGGCUCAGGUUAUGAUCUCGCGGUUCAUGAGUUGGAGCCCUGUAUCAGGCUCUGUGCUAACAGCUCAGAGCCUGGAACCUGCCUCAGAUUCUGUGUCUCCCUGUCUCUCUGUCCCUCUCCCACUCAUGCUAUCUCUCUCUCUCUCUCUCUCUCUCUCUCUCUGUCUCUCUCUCUCUCAAAUAAAAACAUUAAAAAAUUAAAAAAAAUUUUUUAAUUGGAUACAAUUUAACUUAUCUAGCAUUAGGAAGAUUGGUGACUCUUUUGGUAUAUAAUACCACUAACUUAUGCUUAACUAUUCUUUUUCAGGAAUGUUCAAGAACAUGUAAAUUGUGCAUGAUAUGGUAAAUGAUAACAUUUUAAAAAGCAAAUAUGCGUUAUGAUCCUAAUUUUUAAAACAUGUCUUUUUCUGUGUGUCCAUAAACACACGUCUGAGAGAUCAGAUGAAGAGAUUUAAAAUUUAUUCUUUAAAGUUUUAUUUUCCAAUUUUCUUUCUGAGUAUGCAUUAUUUUAUAAAAUACCAUUUUUAUUAAGCUUUUAAACACAUUUAGAGUUUAGCUUCCAGUAAUCUUUAAAUUCUGUAUAAUCUUUAAGUCUGUAUAAUUCUUCGUAAGAAGGGAUUUUUCUGAGGCAGCAGUAAUUCUUUUUUCAGGACUCAAAUAUAUUGUAGUCUUCUUGAGAAGUAGGUUCCUGAACCCUUGCUGAUGUUGCUUAGUAGAAAAAUGUGCUGGAAAUGGCCUAUGAAAAGGUAGAGAGCAAUGAUACAGAGAGACCCAGAAAUUCGGCAUAGAGAGGUCAGCUGCCAAAAGGGUCCCGGGAGCAGAAGGGGUCUUCAGGCUGUGAGGGGACCAGUGACUUUCAGCACCGUUUGUGGCGUGAAACUGGAGAAGGGACUGGAUUUCCUGAGGCCACUCCCAGGGUUAGAACCCGCGAGAAGUGGGCAGUCAGGGAGGGGGACUCCUCAGGGCAGGAGAAAUUGGGCCCAUGUGAGUUACAGAAGGUGGAUCCAUUCUUCCAGCUCUGAGUGCUUGUUAAUUGCUUUCUUUCCUCUGUUCAGACAUUUUUAAGUGAUCUGUGUGUGCGUUUGUGUUAUUGUUUCUGAUGUAAGUGAUUGAAAUUUAAUGUUGUGGGUGAUAUGGAUCAUUACUUCCAGAAUUUCACACUUUAAGAAGCUUAUUUAUAUUUGGUUUUGUAUUGUAUCAGUGUCGGCCUUCCUCCUCCUUCCCUAUCCCCCAGCUCCCAGCCCAGCUCGGGGUGUACUUCAUCAUCUAUGGAUUGCUCUGCCUUGUCGGUAUCAGUUCUUGUAACCAAUCAGCACUCUCAGGUGUUUACUUGGCUCCCCAGUACCUGAUGCUUUCACCACUUAGGAAGUGUUUGUUGAAUGAAUGAACCGCUUACGGUUGUUCAACAAGCUGUUCCAGAAGCCUGUGUUUACUGGUGCUUUUCCUCUGCUUAGAAUACCUUUCCCUUCCUCACUUGGCUUAUUCCUCAAGACUCAUCUCAGGUAUCAUCUCUAAUAAGUCUCUCCUGACACCUCCUGCCUCCUGUGAGCUCCUCGGGGGCUAGUGUCCCAUCUGAUCAUCCGUUUUUACCAACACCAGGCAUAGCACCAGCACACUAAACUGUUUUAGCUUUUAGGCCACAGAGGUACAAUAACUAGUAUGACAGGCCUUUAAAAUGCUUAUCAGAGUGUUUGAGACAUUGAAAUAAUGUUGUUGGCUCCAGUUUUAUGUUUUUUAAUCUGCAAAACCAAAGCUACAAAUGUUUAAUGAAGUAUCUCCAGACUAUUGCUGCGUCAGCCAUUAAUUGUUAAAGUUCAUAUUCACACGCAGUCCGUUCCAUUCUAAGACAAAUUCCAAUUUGUAGGUUAGGCUGCACUUAAAAUAUCCUCCCGGCACACAUGAUGACUUCAGAGAAAUGCCAAUCAUAAAUUUGCUUAGUGACUCACGGCACACAGUAUUUUCCGAAGCAAAAUUAGAAAUCUUGCCAGAAACGUUUACAGUUCUCUGUAUGGCCGAUGUGCCUAGGGCCCUUGGAGUUCCACCUGCAGAGAGGAGAACAUACAGAGACCACUUCAAUUUGCCACAGUCCCUCCACGACCCAGUGUCUUCCACCUACCCGCCCUCGCUCGUUUACUUUGCUUGCUGGACCUUGGAAGGCCCUGGGUUACUGACUCCGUCCUGGACUCUCAGAGCUGGAAGAGAGAUUUGAGAUUAUCUGAGGCCACCCCAUCCCUCUGCAGAUGCGAGCAGCGAGGUCUGGACAGGAGAAUGGAAUUGACUUGUUGCACAUCAGACCAAGCCAGUUUAACAGCAAAGGCAGGAUGAGUCUGCGACCCACGCAAACUUAGAGAAAGUUGAAUUGCAGUCUCGGGCCCCUGGACCUUUAAUUUGUCUCGGAAUCUCCAGAGGAAAUUGUGAAACGUCUCCGGCCAUCUCCAGAUUCAAAAUCCAUAUUCUAGGCUAGUGCCAAGAAUCUGCAUUUUCAGCACGAUUACAGUCUCUUGACCCCCGUGGCCUAGGACCACAGACACCCUGCUGGGGCACAGGAAGAACUGGUACACCUUUAAUCUGAAAGUAAGGGCAAAAUUAAGCCUUGCUGAUAGUGAAUAUGCAGAUUGACACAGGCACCCUUCCUUGGGCCACGUAUCAGUCAGGUAAGAUUGGGUCCUGCAGCCAAAACCAAUGAUCCCCGAGCGUAGUGACCUACAAGCAGGGUUCCCAAGCGACAUGCAGGAUGCUAAGUUACGUGUGAAUUUCAGGUAAACUGUGAAAACAUUUUUAAGGGUAAGAAUGUCCCGAAUGUUUAUUGGAAGUGUGUCCUGUGCAGUUUGAGACCUCCUUGCACUAAUCCACAUAACGUUUAGUCUGCGAGAGACCACCUCAACCCGGGGCAUUUCCAGUUGAAUAGUGGUGCAGCAUGACAAAACAAGGCCAUUAGGAGAAUCUUUUCAGAAUUCUGUGAUGAGGGGUGAUCUCGAAAAUCUCACGUACCAAACACAGUUCACAGAUCAUCUUGCAACACUCAAAAGAAUUGUCGAGGGGCGCCUGGGUGGCUCAGUCGGUUGAACGUCCGACUCUGGCUCAGGUCGUGAUCUCGCGGUCCGUGAGUUCAAGGCCGGCGUCGGGCUCUGUGCCAACAGCUGGGAGCCUGUUUCGGAUUCUGUGUCUCCCUCUCUCUCUGACCCUCCCCCGCUCAUUCUGUCUCAAAAAAAUAAAUAAACGUUAAGAAAAAAAAAUUAAAGAAAAAAGAAUUGUCGAGCUUAAAGAAUGAGUUACAAUAUUUUAUAAAAAGUGUCCCACAUUUCCUCACCUUUUCUGUGAUGGCACAUAGCUGUCAUUAGGAUGUUUUUGGAGAAAAUUUCACAAAAAUAAACAGACUUAAUCUAUUUGUCCGAGAUAAAGGUGGUGUCUGAACAGCGAGUGAGAAAAGUCAUUGGUUUAAAAAAAAAAAAAAAAAAACCUUAGAGAGCAUUUUGGAAAAUAAAUGUUUACAAAUCUUUCCAACAUUCUGUGAUUUUGUUGCUAAAACUGACCUAUACUGUGUAUAAAAAAACUCAUUUCCACACAGUCAACUUGAGAGCUGAAAUUUCUCACCUCCUUUAAAACUCUUCCAAAUGGAGUUUGUUUUAAAUUUAUUGAGGGGGGUGCCUGGGUGGCUCAGUUCGACUUCAGCUCAGGUCAUGAUCUCGUGGUUCACAAGGUAGAGCCCUGCGUCCGGCUCUGUGCUGACAGCUUAGAGCCUGGAGCCUGCUUCAGAUUCUGUCUCCCUCUCUCUGCCCCUUCCCCGCUGACUCUCUCUCUUUCCCUCCCUCUCUCUCCCUCUCUAAAAAAUAAACGCUAAAAUUUUUUUUUAAAAAGGAAACAAGUGUAUUGAGGACUUCUAAGGAGGACAGUGGUUUGGAUCUGUUUUACCUAAGGCGGUGUGGGAGGGAAGGGAGACAGCAGAGCAGACGACUACAGAGACCGGCAAGCCUGCCCUGCACACCCUGAAGGCUUGUGAAAACCCUAUCCACGUGGUAAUUGUUUUCUUCGAUACCACUCAUUGGCAUUCUUAGAAUGCCCAGACUGACCUCUUUGUCAGCCACCAACUGAUUUGUUUACCCCAAACAUGCGCCUGCAAAGUUCACUGUUCCCAGCUGCCAGCAGGUGUCUUCCUUUCUGCUUUCUCUUAUACAUCCUGUUUUAAAUUUUGCUCCUUGACAACAGCCUGUUGACCUUUCUUCCUCACCUAGGGGUAAACAAAUUGCAUGCAAAACAACUAACUUAAUAGAUCUGAAUUAUUCCUUGACACCAUGUAAUUGGUUUGCAAAAGACUGACUCAAAGAAGUUGGAAAUGUAACCAAAUUUUAGCUACAAUGUUUGCAUCGUCUAUGGCUACAAGUGAAAUGAGCAGUUGGACUUGGUAAGCUCUGAAACCGUGUGAUUCAGUCCUAUUUACUUGCCUUUUGAGACAUUUUAAGUAACGGCAGCCAUUCCAACUGAGUUUUGAAAUAAACUGAACUUAGAAGGACACUUCAAGUUGUUCUAUCACAAAGUUUUCCACCAAGAGCCACAAAAAUAAAAUCGUGUGACCACUUUACUCUCGUUUAAAGAGUAUCAGUGGAACAGAACCAGUUUGAAGUCAACACGUAAAACACAAAUAUUUUAAAUAUUGUUUUCUACUUUUGUGUUUUCAUGUUAAUGUGCUACUGUGACUGGGUCAUUUACAAGUAAGUAAAUACACACACAUUGAGGCUGCACGUCCAGAACAUUUUUUCAACCAAUAAUAAUGUGUGAUAAGAAAGUUUAUAGACAGCUGUUUUUAGAAAGACUGUUUAGGCACACCAUGGUACCUAACACCACUUGCCAGCUAUUCUUUAAGUCAAGAAUAGUUAUCAAGUUAAUGAUCUAUGCAGUAUUUUCCUUUACGCUUUAACAAGAGUAGAAGAAUUUUAAAGUAUAAGACAAUGCAAACUUUGAUGUGCAAUUUACCAGCGUAAUAUAGCAAAACCCUCUUGGUUAAAACUACACGAUACCUUGUUUAAUUUAGGUGAUAAUUAUUUAAGUGCUGUUCUGUAGACUAAUAACAUUUAAGCAAAUUAUUUGAAACUCUUUGGAAACCAUUUUGAUGGCACUUGAAGGAGUUGCUUUUCUAGAUACCGGAAGAACUUAAAUUCUUUUGUAAGCUAUUCAUUUUUGGCUUUCAGAAUACAAUGCAAGUGAUUGUAGGGGCAGGCUGUCUCUGCUAGGUAUUACCUUCACAGCAAGAAUGUUCUUAGUCUUUGUGAGUUUUAUCCUCCGAAGCUGAUCGUCACCCUAAAUGAAGCCUAGGAACAGUUUCAAAGUCACUGAGCAUCUGCUGUUCAGGCCAACUCGGUGGCUGGAGCCCAAGUGGUGGUCCCUGCUGUGCACGUACCCUCGGCUAAGAGUGAGAAGGAGGGAAUUCUCAGAUGAAUCUUCAAAUCAAUCCCUCAAUCAGGCUCUGCCUGUGGGUCCCCCUCUCUGCCUUUCUAGUUAAGGGCUUGGCCUUUGCAGACGCUAAUGAAUCGCUGAGCUAUUAAGCAUUUACAAGGAGCCUUCCAGUGGAGACAACAAAAGGAAGGCAUCACUUAGUGCCAAAGUGUCAGAUGUCAAAGCCACCGACGGGACAGACAUUUUUACUAAACAUUUCUGUAUUUGUCUUCGCAUGGGCAUUUUACUUUCUCAGUGUCGUGCAGUCACAAGGCACCCAGUAAUAGAAUCCACUGCAUGUAAAGGUCGGGCUGAAUGAUAAACCACCGGAUGAACCAUGGGUGUUAGCCACAUAUGACAAUUUUUUUACAUAUUUAUUUACAUUUUUCCUCUCUAGGAAAUGAAGCCAGAAUCCACAGAUGUCAUUAUCCAUCUACAUACAUCUGUUUACUACCCAGAAGGCAAGGAUAUUGCAUUUUAAAAGGGUCUGGACUUUUGUUCUUAUCACAAAUGACUUGAGUGGCUCUGACCAUUCACGUUUACCCGGAGUGAAAGUGUCAGUGAAAGCUUUGCUUCCUGGAGAGCUUUGAGAUUCUGGUACAAAAGGCAUUUUAUAAGCACAAAGUGGAAAAGCAUCAUUUAUAUUCAUUUGCUGCUGUGGCAUUUCUCUCUGGAAUCUUCCUCUUGUCUGUCAACAUUGUACAAAAAGACUGGCCUCAUCUACAUUACAAAUAUCAUUCUUUUAAUGGUCUGCAAGUAGGAAAGAGACAGCAUAAGAAGGGAGGGGGCGGAGAAACUUGAGGUCUCCUGUUGGAAGAUCUAGGCUUGUUUAUCCCUAAAACUGGGUGCACAUCACCAGUGUGGAUGCUGUGAAUUGUUUCGGAAAGACUGGGGUAUGGGAGUACUACAAUGCUUUGUG